This is a non-coding RNA of Pseudonaja textilis, 94 nucleotides long. The record is from RefSeq and is a predicted model, not a curated record. NCBI's taxonomy places the organism in Eukaryota, Metazoa, Chordata, Lepidosauria, Squamata, Elapidae.
GGGUUGCUGAACACCCAGAUACAGGCAUUUACUUAGAUGACCCUACACACAAAAGGUGCCAGGUUUUGACCUUAUAUCUGCACAAAUUUGGAAG